RNAcentral lists this long non-coding RNA (258 nucleotides) under Setaria viridis. RNAcentral describes it as "long non-coding RNA (SVIR_LNC003825)". The record is from RNAcentral. Lineage: Eukaryota; Viridiplantae; Streptophyta; Magnoliopsida; Poales; Poaceae.
CCUGGACCCUGAAUACCUUAUGACAUGCCAGCUAACGGAUAAGAGCGACGUGUACAGCUUUGGCGUCGUCCUGCUGGAGCUUCUAACCAGGAAGAAGGCACUCUACUUCGAUGGGCCAGAGGAAGACAGGAGCCUCGUGUCAUGCUUCAUGACGGCAAUGAAGGCUGGUCGGCAUGAAGAGCUUCUUGACAUCCAGGUGAGGAACGAGAUGAGAGCCGAGGUGCUUGAAGAAAUUGCUCACCUUGUGAUGCGAUGCUU